This is a long non-coding RNA of Sinocyclocheilus rhinocerous, 640 nucleotides long. RefSeq lists it as uncharacterized. The transcript has 2 exons. Lineage: Eukaryota; Metazoa; Chordata; Actinopteri; Cypriniformes; Cyprinidae. The record is from RefSeq and is a predicted model, not a curated record.
GACUAUAGUACAGUUACUAUGUUGUUGUUUUUGUGUGUAGUUCUUCUACUGUGCUCCAGGGGGCCCUACAUGAUUUUCUAUGGUAAGGGAUAAAAUGGAUGUAGGCAGUAGAGUAAGACAUACCUGUUUGAUUAAGCGGAAACAUGGCUUUCACUUACAUAACCUUACCGCAAAUGGAGUUCAGUUUGAGAAACUUAGGUUUUCAGCUCAAUCAAAAGAACUCUUUUUGUUUCUGUCUUUCCGUUUUCUUCUUUACUUUGAAUGCCUCAUCAAUGGACUAAGAAGUAACUUCAUCAAAACUCUGUGCUCAUCGAGGGACAAAUCAACAUCAAAGAAUUGCAACGCACUCUAUGUUUUGAGGAAACUCGGAUUGCUGAUUAUUAAUGUUACUCUUGCUAUCGGACUAUUGGAUUUUGUUAACUCCUAUCAUCAUUGAGGACUUCAGUAUUCGGAUUCAGUGCUUGUUUCGGCUUAGAGACGAGUACUCAUUCAACCAGAUAAGUUUUUUUGUCCUUUAUUUUGAUAAAUGAUUAAUGCGACGGUUUGUUUUGUAUUCAAAAAGACUUUAUUGACUGUUUUUCAUACACAUGCCGUAAUGAUCUGUGGAUUGCCUUUAUUUAUAUAAACAUUUUGUAAUGCA